This 456-nucleotide long non-coding RNA is filed under the name Cricetulus griseus (Chinese hamster). Its description in RNAcentral is "lncRNA (ENSCGRG00000024796.1)". Lineage: Eukaryota; Metazoa; Chordata; Mammalia; Rodentia; Cricetidae. The record is from RNAcentral.
AUGGAUGGAUUUUGCUGCCUCCAAAGCAGGUCAUUUUUAUGUUGUGAUGUACUUCGUGCUUUCCUCCCACCAGGAGGGGCUGGAGGCUACCAUGCCUUCCCACCAGGCUCUCAUUCUGUAGCUUUGGAGAUGGACACUUGUUCUCCCUGGACUCUUUCCGAGUGCUCCAGGGUUGGUGGAUGUUCAUUCUGGAUGUACCUUCACCUGGCAGAUGUUCCCUUCAUCCAUCAAAGAAUGCAGGGUGUAUGGAACACCCCGAGGAUCUGCUAUAGCCGAGUCUCUGGCUUGCUGGUCACUUCUGCUGCCUAGCUCCUCAACAAACUCUUGACAGUUUGAGUAAUGACUUUGUGUUACUUAUCCCUGGGUCUCCAUUGUAAUGGUGAAAAGUAAGUACAAGAAACACAACCACCACCAAGAAGCCCAGUAUACGUGGGAAACCUGCAAACUUCUUAAAAA